RNAcentral lists this ribosomal RNA (415 nucleotides) under uncultured prokaryote. Its description in RNAcentral is "bacterial SSU rRNA". It matches the Rfam family "Bacterial small subunit ribosomal RNA", at positions 505 to 918 of the family's 1533-position model. The record is from RNAcentral.
GUGCCAGCAGCCGCGGUAAUACGGAGGCUGCAAACGUUGUUCGGAUUUACUGGGCGUAAAGAGUUCGUAGGCGGUUGGGAUUAAUUAGACGUGAAAUACUUUGGCUUACCCAAAGAAUUGCAUCUAAUAUUACCCGACUUGAGUAUGAGAGGGGAGAGUAGAAUUGUAGGUGGAGCGGUGAAAUGCGUAGAUAUCUACAAGAAUACCGGAGGCGAAGGCGGCUCUCUAGUUCAUCACUGACGCUGAGGAACGAAAGCUAGGGGAUCAAACAGGAUUAGAUACCCUGGUAGUCCUAGCCGUAAACGAUGGAUACUAGUCGUGGGCUUCGUUAAGAGGUCCGUGAUGUAGCUAACGCGUUAAGUAUCCCGCCUGGGGAGUACGGUCGCAAGGCUAAAACUUAAAUGAAUUGACGGGG